GACGGAGGGUGCAAGCGUUGUUCGGAUUGACUGGGCGUAAAGGGCGUGUAGGCGGUUGGCCAAGUCUGAUGUGAAAGCCCGAGGCUCAGUCUCGGAAGUGCGUCGGAAACUAGUCGGCUGGAGCGCGAUAGAGGAGGGUGGAAUUCCUGGUGUAGCGGUGAAAUGCGUAGAUAUCAGGAGGAACACCGGCGGCGAAGGCGGCCCUCUGGAUCGUUGCUGACGCUGAGACGCGAAAGCGUGGGGAGCAAACAGG
This 253-nucleotide ribosomal RNA is filed under the name uncultured bacterium. RNAcentral describes it as "partial 16S ribosomal RNA". It matches the Rfam family "Bacterial small subunit ribosomal RNA", at positions 524 to 776 of the family's 1533-position model. The record is from RNAcentral.